GCACUACAGUUAUAAAUGUAGCAUUGUACAUGUUGUGUGUUAUUAAUUAAGUGGAAGAAUAGAGUUGGGUUCAAAAGUACAGAAGGUAGUUAAUGUUUAAUGUAAUGGUAAAUGUUGUAAAGUGAUAUUAUAGAAAUAUUAAAACAGUGGUUUUAGACAUCAGUAGUUUAAGUAUGCAAAGUUCUCUAAGAUUUCUGACUUAUUUUCCUCUUAUACAGUGUAAGGUACAUUCUACAUAGGAAUUCUGCAGCUUGGGGAAACUCUAAAGAGACGCUACAUGACUAAAUGACACUUGCUUCAGAAGAAAA
RNAcentral lists this long non-coding RNA (308 nucleotides) under Pogona vitticeps (central bearded dragon). Its description in RNAcentral is "lncRNA (ENSPVIG00000013851.1)". The record is from RNAcentral. Lineage: Eukaryota; Metazoa; Chordata; Lepidosauria; Squamata; Agamidae.